RNAcentral lists this ribosomal RNA (252 nucleotides) under uncultured bacterium. Its description in RNAcentral is "partial 16S ribosomal RNA". It matches the Rfam family "Bacterial small subunit ribosomal RNA", at positions 524 to 776 of the family's 1533-position model. The record is from RNAcentral.
UACGUAGGUGGCAAGCGUUAUCCGGAAUUAUUGGGCGUAAAGCGCGCGCAGGCGGUUAUUUAAGUCUGGUGUUUAAACCUUGGGCUCAACCUGGGGUCGCACUGGAAACUGGGUAACUUGAGUACAGAAGAGGAAAGUGGAAUUCCACGUGUAGCGGUGAAAUGCGUAGAGAUGUGGAGGAACACCAGUGGCGAAGGCGACUUUCUGGGCUGUAACUGACGCUGAGGCGCGAAAGCGUGGGGAGCAAACAGG